GGGGACAGCCCCUCGGAAAGCCGACGCUUAAAAAAAGGCGGUCAACGGUCAAAAUAAAUAUGACCCGUUGACCAACAAUUCAAAAUUGGUCUGCUGCAUGCAGAGAGUGCAGAGAGACUUUACUCUCUCUCUCUCUCUCUCGACCUCUCAGGACUGUCUCGCCCGACGACUGUGUGAGCCAGUUCGAGUUCGUCGAGGAGAACGGCGCGCACUGCUAGCAGCACCGGCAGCUCCAUCCCGGCGUCGUCGACCAGCCUGCAGCUUUCUCGUUGUCCAAGUUCAGUCCCGCGGCCACAAUCCUCGACGGCAGGCCCGGCACAGCGGAGCUGAGCAGCUCUCAGCCCCCUGCUCGUGCCGAGCUGAAGCUCCAGGGCGCCCGCCCAACCUCGGCCUAUUGCUAGCCCGCACCCGAGAAGUGCUUGCAGCUCGAUCCCCACACAUCCCCUGCUCGAGUCGCACUGCCCACUAGCUGUAGCUCGGCCGCGUGCGCCGCCUCGCAGAUUUGCCCGUCUCUCCCCGGCAUUGAGCUCGGCCGCCCCGGAUCUGUUCGUGGAUCGUCUAAAGGAGUCUGACCCCUGUUACACUUGUUGCUAAGCUGCAUUAAAGCUUCAAAUUCUACUGGAGUAGUAGCAGAUCCAAAUGCAAUUUGGGUUGAUGAGAAUCCAUUAGAUAGGUACAUGGACAUGGUCUAUGAUGCGGUGACACGACAUUAUGGGCAUGAAAUGCAAUUAGGAUCUUCGAUGUUUGUUGUUGAGGAGCCAAAUGCAGAGGCCCAAGAGUUUUACGAGCUUUUGGAGCAAUAUAAUAAGCCAGUAUGGUGGGGUUUGGACCAAUACUCUCCAUUGAGUAUCGCCACUAGAUUACUCAACGUCAAAAGCGAUUACAAGGUGCAAAUUCUGUGGUGCCAAGAGGUACAAAUUAGGCGAAGAAAGACAGGAUUCCGAAGAACUAUUAUGAGGCGGAGAAGUUAGUGUCAUCUCUUGGAUUGAGCACCGUAGUUUUCUGUUAUUGUCCAAAAGCUUGCAUGUUGUACUAUAAGGACGACUCUAAUUGUACUAGGUGCAAAUUAUCUGGUGUCGAGAGGUAUAAACGUAGUUUUGAUGCUAAAGGCAAAUUUAAGGUAAAGGUGAGGAAAAAAAUUCACUACUUGCCUCUAAUCUCGAGACUAAAAAAGCUCUAUGCAUUUCCUACCUUGGCAAGCAAUAUGAGAUGGUACUACAAGAACUGUCGCCCUAGUAAUGUUAUAUGAGCACUUCGACGAGGUACACUCGGAUUUCCGAUCUGACCCUCGUAAUGUUGGGCUCCAAUUAUGGGCACUACGGGUAUGUUUUAUGCUUGCCUCGUUGGAAGAUUAAAAGUGCACUACGAUAAUUAUCUUUCUUAAUUUGAAUAAUAUAAAAUUUUUUAUUGAUUCAUUGAUUUCGUUCAGGGCACCAAGAUGGUUAUGGCAGUUCUGAGGAGCUACAUCAAUCGUUUUUAUAAACUGGACCACCCAAUAGUCAAAUUCCAUAGAGAUGUCCCAGGCGUGGGGAAUGAGUUCUUAUAUGGAGAGUGGAAGAUACGUUUGUUUUGAAUAAUAUACCGUAUUUUUGUUGUUGUUAAAUUGAUAACUAAUUGAUUAUUCAUAUGUAGAAAUUGGUUUACUUCGACCCGCGAUACGAGGGAUAUAUGAAGAAAGCUUUCAUGCAUAGGUGUGGCACCCAACUACUUGGUUUGUAUGGCGACCACCAGCGGGGUAAUUCGAAAAGCGGAUUUUGUUGGAGAAGCUCAUUUGGCAGAGUUGGAGGCGGCAUGGAAGAGGGACACAUUCCUUCGAGAAGGGGACAGAAACAUGGCCAAUCGUAACUCCAAUGCCAGAGCUUCUAUCCAUUGUAGUGGAAGUGUAUAUUUCGAUAGUCUUGCUUAUCGAGAAGUCUCCUAAAAUAUCAACUUGUUUGGUUUCACAAACCGAUUUUAACU
This is a non-coding RNA of Punica granatum (pomegranate), 1959 nucleotides long. NCBI's taxonomy places the organism in Eukaryota, Viridiplantae, Streptophyta, Magnoliopsida, Myrtales, Lythraceae. The record is from RefSeq and is a predicted model, not a curated record.